RNAcentral lists this ribosomal RNA (1553 nucleotides) under Vibrio parahaemolyticus. RNAcentral's name for it is "bacterial SSU rRNA". It matches the Rfam family "Bacterial small subunit ribosomal RNA". The record is from RNAcentral. Lineage: Bacteria; Pseudomonadati; Pseudomonadota; Gammaproteobacteria; Vibrionales; Vibrionaceae.
AAAUUGAAGAGUUUGAUCAUGGCUCAGAUUGAACGCUGGCGGCAGGCCUAACACAUGCAAGUCGAGCGGAAACGAGUUAACUGAACCUUCGGGGAACGUUAACGGCGUCGAGCGGCGGACGGGUGAGUAAUGCCUAGGAAAUUGCCCUGAUGUGGGGGAUAACCAUUGGAAACGAUGGCUAAUACCGCAUGAUGCCUACGGGCCAAAGAGGGGGACCUUCGGGCCUCUCGCGUCAGGAUAUGCCUAGGUGGGAUUAGCUAGUUGGUGAGGUAAGGGCUCACCAAGGCGACGAUCCCUAGCUGGUCUGAGAGGAUGAUCAGCCACACUGGAACUGAGACACGGUCCAGACUCCUACGGGAGGCAGCAGUGGGGAAUAUUGCACAAUGGGCGCAAGCCUGAUGCAGCCAUGCCGCGUGUGUGAAGAAGGCCUUCGGGUUGUAAAGCACUUUCAGUCGUGAGGAAGGUAGUGUAGUUAAUAGCUGCAUUAUUUGACGUUAGCGACAGAAGAAGCACCGGCUAACUCCGUGCCAGCAGCCGCGGUAAUACGGAGGGUGCGAGCGUUAAUCGGAAUUACUGGGCGUAAAGCGCAUGCAGGUGGUUUGUUAAGUCAGAUGUGAAAGCCCGGGGCUCAACCUCGGAAUAGCAUUUGAAACUGGCAGACUAGAGUACUGUAGAGGGGGGUAGAAUUUCAGGUGUAGCGGUGAAAUGCGUAGAGAUCUGAAGGAAUACCGGUGGCGAAGGCGGCCCCCUGGACAGAUACUGACACUCAGAUGCGAAAGCGUGGGGAGCAAACAGGAUUAGAUACCCUGGUAGUCCACGCCGUAAACGAUGUCUACUUGGAGGUUGUGGCCUUGAGCCGUGGCUUUCGGAGCUAACGCGUUAAGUAGACCGCCUGGGGAGUACGGUCGCAAGAUUAAAACUCAAAUGAAUUGACGGGGGCCCGCACAAGCGGUGGAGCAUGUGGUUUAAUUCGAUGCAACGCGAAGAACCUUACCUACUCUUGACAUCCAGAGAAUUUUCCAGAGAUGGAUUAGUGCCUUCGGGAACUCUGAGACAGGUGCUGCAUGGCUGUCGUCAGCUCGUGUUGUGAAAUGUUGGGUUAAGUCCCGCAACGAGCGCAACCCUUAUCCUUGUUUGCCAGCGAGUAAUGUCGGGAACUCCAGGGAGACUGCCGGUGAUAAACCGGAGGAAGGUGGGGACGACGUCAAGUCAUCAUGGCCCUUACGAGUAGGGCUACACACGUGCUACAAUGGCGCAUACAGAGGGCGGCCAACUUGCGAAAGUGAGCGAAUCCCAAAAAGUGCGUCGUAGUCCGGAUUGGAGUCUGCAACUCGACUCCAUGAAGUCGGAAUCGCUAGUAAUCGUGGAUCAGAAUGCCACGGUGAAUACGUUCCCGGGCCUUGUACACACCGCCCGUCACACCAUGGGAGUGGGCUGCAAAAGAAGUAGGUAGUUUAACCUUCGGGGGGACGCUUACCACUUUGUGGUUCAUGACUGGGGUGAAGUCGUAACAAGGUAGCGCUAGGGGAACCUGGCGCUGGAUCACCUCCUUA